UACGUAGGGGGCUAGCGUUGUCUGGAAUCAUUGGGCGUAAAGCGCGCGUAGGCGGCCAGAUAAGUCCGGUGUGAAAGCCACAGGCUCAACCUGUGAAUGCCGCUGGAAACUGUCUGGCUAGAGUCCGGGAGGGGCGAGUGGAAUUCCUGGUGUAGCGGUGAAAUGCGCAGAUAUCGGGAAGAACACCCGUGGCGAAGGCGGUUCUCUGGGACGGUACUGACGCUGAGACGCGAAAGCGUGGGGAGCAAACAGG
This 253-nucleotide ribosomal RNA is filed under the name uncultured bacterium. Its description in RNAcentral is "partial 16S ribosomal RNA". It matches the Rfam family "Bacterial small subunit ribosomal RNA", at positions 524 to 776 of the family's 1533-position model. The record is from RNAcentral.